GGACCUUUUCCUAAAGUGGAUCAAGUAGAGUGAAGCAGAGCGCAACGAGUAAAGCGAGCGGAGCAAAGAAAAAGUACAUAGAAAUUGGUGAGCAAGUUGAUUGUAUUUAUUCCAAAAAAGCAAACAGAGAAGGUGCCUGAACAUCUUGGUAUUGGUAGAUCAAAAUUAGUGAGUAUUUCGUUGAUCAUACAUUUUAGAUUAUUAGUUUCAUUGCCACUGCAAAUUAAGGAGGAGGUGGAGCACACAUCAUAUUCCAUAAAUUAAUGUAGUAAGCAGGCUAACAUAUAUAAUGGACUACACGAGGCCUAGUACUGCACAUAUUGUUAAUGUGGUUAGCAAGUACAUGGGCAUUCUUAGAAGACACAUUGUAGUAGAUCAUGAAAUAGAUUAUGAGAUAUUUAAAAGACUACAGAUAUUGACUUAGUCAAUCAUAGUGGUAAAUUAUCUAAUAGUAUUAUAGCUUUCGUUGGUUUUGAUUAUGCCAGUGAUUUGGAUAAGCAAUGAUCACUAAUAGGAUAUGCUUUUACUCUUUUUGGUUAUUUUGUUAGUUGGGAGGCUAUACUUCGUUC
RNAcentral lists this long non-coding RNA (569 nucleotides) under Elaeis guineensis (African oil palm). RNAcentral describes it as "long non-coding RNA (EGUI_LNC003962)". Lineage: Eukaryota; Viridiplantae; Streptophyta; Magnoliopsida; Arecales; Arecaceae. The record is from RNAcentral.